GGGCCCGCACAAGCGGUGGAGUAUGUGGUUUAAUUCGAUGCAACGCGAAGAACCUUACCAGGGUUUGACAUCCUGCGAAUCUCUUGGAAACAGGAGAGUGCCUUCGGGAACGCAGUGACAGGUGGUGCAUGGCUGUCGUCAGCUCGUGUCGUGAGAUGUUGGGUUAAGUCCCGCAACGAGCGCAACCCACGUCUUUAGUUACCAGCACUUCGGGUGGGAACUCUAAGGAUACUGCCAGUGACAAACUGGAGGAAGGCGGGGACGACGUCAAGUCAUCAUGGCCCUUACGUGUAGGGCUACACACGUGCUACAAUGGUAUUUACAGAGGGAAGCGAGACAGCGAUGUGGAGCGGACCCCUUAAAGAAUAUCGUAGUCCGGAUCGGAGUCUGCAACUCGACUCCGUGAAGUCGGAAUCGCUAGUAAUCG
Molecule: ribosomal RNA, 427 nt
Filed under: uncultured bacterium
Lineage: Bacteria
Description: bacterial SSU rRNA
Rfam family: Bacterial small subunit ribosomal RNA
Source: RNAcentral